Non-coding RNA from Triticum aestivum (bread wheat), 135 nucleotides. The record is from Rfam. Lineage: Eukaryota; Viridiplantae; Streptophyta; Magnoliopsida; Poales; Poaceae.
CAAGUACUCCCUCCGUGCGGAAAUACUUGUCUUCAAAAUGAACAAAAGAGGAUGUAUCUAGACAUAUAUUAGUUCUAGAUACAUCUCUUUUUAUACAUUUUGAUGAAAAGUAUUUUCGGACGGAGGUAGUACACA